GACGAACGCUGGCGGCGUGCUUAACACAUGCAAGUCGAACGGAAAGGCCCUGCUCUUGUGGGGUGCUCGAGAGGCGAACGGGGGAGUAACACGUGAGUAACCUGCCCUUGACUUUGUGAUAACUUCAGGAAACUGGGGCUAAUACCGGAUAGGAGCUCCUGCUGCAUGGGGGGGGUUGGAAAGUUUCGGCGGUUGGGGAUGGACUCGCGGCUUAUCAGCUUGUUGGGGGGGUAGUGGCUUACCAAGGCUUUGACGGGUAGCCGGCCUGAGAGGUUUACCGGCCACAUUGGGCCUGCGAUACGGCCCAGACUCCUACGGGCGGCAGAAGUGGGGAAUCUUGCACAAUGGGCGGAAGCCUGAUGUAGCAACGCCGCGUUCGGGAUGCCGGCCUUCGGGUUGUAAACCGCUUUCGCCUGUGACGAAGCGUGAGUGACGGUACCGGGUCAAGAAGCACCGGCUAACUACGUG
Molecule: ribosomal RNA, 468 nt
Filed under: uncultured bacterium
Lineage: Bacteria
Description: partial 16S ribosomal RNA
Rfam family: Bacterial small subunit ribosomal RNA
Source: RNAcentral